Molecule: ribosomal RNA, 322 nt
Filed under: uncultured eukaryote
Lineage: Eukaryota
Description: partial 18S ribosomal RNA
Rfam family: Eukaryotic small subunit ribosomal RNA
Source: RNAcentral
CCCUUAGAUGUUCUGGGCCGCACGCGUGCUACACUGACCGGUGCAACAAGUUUCUUUCCUUGGCUCGAUAGGCCUGGGUAAUCUUUGAACACCGGUCGUGAUGGGGAUAGAUCCUUGCAAUUUUUGAUCUUCAACGAGGAAUUCCUAGUAAAUGCGAGUCAUCAUCUCGCGUUGAUUACGUCCCUGCCCUUUGUACACACCGCCCGUCGCACCUACCGAUUGAAUGGUCCGGUGAAAUCUCGGGACGGCGGCUUGGUCGCUUGCGUCCGACUGCUGAAACUUGAUUAAACCAUAUCAUUUAGAGGAAGGUGAAGUCGUANCA